RNAcentral lists this non-coding RNA (30 nucleotides) under Rattus norvegicus (Norway rat). The record is from RNAcentral. Lineage: Eukaryota; Metazoa; Chordata; Mammalia; Rodentia; Muridae.
UGAUCUCACGUCCUGGAGUGCAUCACCCCC